GGGCGAUUAGCUCAAUUGGCAGAGCGCCGCAUUUACACUGCGGAGGUUGUAGGUUCAAGUCCUACAUCGCCCACCA
RNAcentral lists this transfer RNA (76 nucleotides) under bacterium. RNAcentral's name for it is "tRNA-Val". It matches the Rfam family "tRNA". From Rfam's summary of the family: Transfer RNA (tRNA) molecules are approximately 80 nucleotides in length. Their secondary structure includes four short double-helical elements and three loops (D, anti-codon, and T loops). The record is from RNAcentral.